GUACAAGUGAAAAACUAGAAACUCAAAGGACUUGGCGGUACCCCACACCAACCUAGAGGAGCCUGUCCCAUAAUCGAUACCCCACGCUAAACCUAACCGACUCUUGACAAUCAGCCUAUAUACCGCCGUCGCCAGCCUGCCUAAUAAUAGACACACAGCAGGCACAAUAGUCCACGCUAACACGUCAGGUCAAGGUGUAGCUAAUGAGUCGGGCAAAGAUGGGCUACAUUUUCUACCCCACAAGAAAACCCACCACACCCCCACUGAAAUCCGGGUCCCAAGGCGGAUUUAGCAGUAAACCGGGCAAGACAAGCCCGACUGAAACCUGCUCUGGGGUAUGCACACACCGCCCGUCACCCUCA
This 362-nucleotide ribosomal RNA is filed under the name Ptyodactylus oudrii. RNAcentral describes it as "partial 12S ribosomal RNA". It matches the Rfam family "Bacterial small subunit ribosomal RNA", at positions 880 to 1405 of the family's 1533-position model. Lineage: Eukaryota; Metazoa; Chordata; Lepidosauria; Squamata; Phyllodactylidae. The record is from RNAcentral.